UACGAAGGGGGCUAGCGUUGCUCGGAAUCACUGGGCGUAAAGCGCACGUAGGCGGAUUGCUAAGUCAGGGGUGAAAUCCUGGAGCUCAACUCCAGAACUGCCUUUGAUACUGGCGACCUUGAGUCCGGGAGAGGUGAGUGGAACUGCGAGUGUAGAGGUGAAAUUCGUAGAUAUUCGCAAGAACACCAGUGGCGAAGGCGGCUCACUGGCCCGGUACUGACGCUGACGGUG
Molecule: ribosomal RNA, 231 nt
Filed under: uncultured bacterium
Lineage: Bacteria
Description: partial 16S ribosomal RNA
Rfam family: Bacterial small subunit ribosomal RNA
Source: RNAcentral